UACGUAGGGUGCGAGCGUUAAUCGGAAUUACUGGGCGUAAAGCGUGCGCAGGCGGUUUUGUAAGUCAGAUGUGCAAUCCCCGAGCUCACCUUGGGAACUUCGUUUGAAACUACAAGACUAGAGUAGGUCAGAGGGGGGUAGAAUUCCACGUGUAGCAGUGAAAUGCGUAGAGAUGUGGAGGAAUACCAAUGGCGAAGGCAGCCCCCUGGGAUAACACUGACGCUCAUGUACGAAAGCGUGGGUAGCAAACAGG
RNAcentral lists this ribosomal RNA (253 nucleotides) under uncultured bacterium. Its description in RNAcentral is "partial 16S ribosomal RNA". It matches the Rfam family "Bacterial small subunit ribosomal RNA", at positions 524 to 776 of the family's 1533-position model. The record is from RNAcentral.